CUUUUCUCUUUCAGUUUCUCUUCUCUUUUUUCUUGCACUUGACAACCAAUCUUUGAAACAAGAUUUCUUUCUCAUUUCAUGCCGGAUUAAGGUGUCUUUUGAGGCAAAACGAAGCCCACGACGAACUCUACACAUCCAUACCAGCAAUUGCAGAUUUCGUGCACCCUUUGGAGUUUGAAUUUUGAGACCUACUUUGAGGGUUUUUGCAUUUUAAGAGGAAAUGGGAAAGAAGUGGCGGAUGAAAAUCCCCCGCAAGCUUGAAGAAGAUUAGGAGUUGUAUUUUGUUACCUUUUGUAUCUUAGCCCAUUUUUUUUGUAUAGUCUCAAAACUAAAAUGUCGUGUGUUCAUUUUUGCAAGACAAGGUCAUGUAUUAUAAAUCAUAACUCUUGUUGAUAUUUUGAAGGGAUGCAAGACUAUGUAAAUGCUUAAGUUGAAUGGGAUGACGGUGAUGGGCUAACUUGGGGAGGUUGUUGAUGUUGUGGUAUUGGGGAAUGUA
Molecule: long non-coding RNA, 496 nt
Organism: Cornus florida
Lineage: Eukaryota; Viridiplantae; Streptophyta; Magnoliopsida; Cornales; Cornaceae
Exons: 2
Source: RefSeq, a predicted model, not a curated record